UACGGAGGGUGCGAACGUUAAUCGGAAUUACUGGGCGUAAAGCGUGCGCAGGCGGUUUUGUAAGUCUGUCGUGAAAUCCCCGGGCUCAACCUGGGAAUGGCGAUGGAGACUGCAAGGCUAGAAUCUGGCAGAGGGGGGUAGAAUUCCACGUGUAGCAGUGAAAUGCGUAGAGAUGUGGAGGAACACCGAUGGCGAAGGCAGCCCCCUGGGUCAAGAUUGACGCUCAUGCACGAAAGCGUGGGGAGCAAACAGG
RNAcentral lists this ribosomal RNA (253 nucleotides) under uncultured bacterium. Its description in RNAcentral is "partial 16S ribosomal RNA". It matches the Rfam family "Bacterial small subunit ribosomal RNA", at positions 524 to 776 of the family's 1533-position model. The record is from RNAcentral.